GACUCGGCGAGAAGUCCAUUGAACCUUAUCAUUUAGAGGAAGGAGAAGUCGUAACAAGGUUUCCGUAGGUGAACCUGCGGAAGGAUCAUUGUCGAGACCGAAAUAUACAACGAGCGACUCGGAGAACUCGUGAAAUGACGUGCGGCAGUCGCCGCGGAGCGGCCGUCCUGGUCGUCGCCGUGUCCUCUUGCGGGGGGCGGCGGCGCGGCGGAGGACGGAUGAAAACACAAACCGGCGCAGCACCGCGCCAAGGGAGAGAUGAAAGGCACGAGCCCCUCGUCGGGCUCGGUGGCAUGGAGUGCUGUUGCACGCCAUGCGAAUGGACACGACUCUCGGCAAUGGAUAUCUCGGCUCUCGCAUCGAUGAAGAGCGCAGCGAAAUGCGAUACGUGGUGCGAAUUGCAGAAUCCCGCGAACCAUCGAGUCUUUGAACGCAAGUUGCGCCUGAGGCCAGCCGGCCGAGGGCACGUCCGCCUGGGCGUCAAGCUUCGCGUCGCUCCGCGCCUGCUCCGUUCCACCAGAUGGGUGUGACGUGACAGGCUCGGACGUGCAGGGUGGCUCGUCGUGCCGGUCGGUGCGGCGGGCUGAAGAGCGGGCUACGUCUCGCCGGCCACGAACAACAAGGGGUGGGUUAAAGCUGUGAGCGCAGCCUGCGUUGUCUCGUGCUGGCCCGAGAGAUGGAUUGCGCCCUCAAGGUGAUCCCGAUCCAUGCGCCGGCCCGGAUGCGUCGGCUUUGGAAUGCGACCCCAGGAUGGGCGAGGCCACCCGCCGAGUUUAAGCAUAUC
This 784-nucleotide ribosomal RNA is filed under the name Eulophia guineensis. RNAcentral's name for it is "eukaryotic LSU rRNA". The stretch from base 328 to 483 matches the Rfam family "5.8S ribosomal RNA". The record is from RNAcentral. Lineage: Eukaryota; Viridiplantae; Streptophyta; Magnoliopsida; Asparagales; Orchidaceae.